This is a long non-coding RNA of Cherax quadricarinatus, 852 nucleotides long. RefSeq lists it as uncharacterized. Lineage: Eukaryota; Metazoa; Arthropoda; Malacostraca; Decapoda; Parastacidae. The record is from RefSeq and is a predicted model, not a curated record.
CCACCCUGGCUACAUGUCCCGCCUGCGCCGUGCGGCCCCACCAUCAACACUAUCCUUCACUCUAACCCGAGCCUCACUCUCACUCUACUCCAGCCAGUUCUCUUCCUCAUCAAUUCUCCUCUCACGGUUCAUACGAGUCCUCUUUCCUUGACAUGGUCUUUGUGAAGCUCCGUGUGUGGACCACGUAAUUUUGGGUUUUGAAGCACCGGCAGUGAUAGGCAAUUUUGAAAGUGAAAUAAAAUUAACACAGAGAUUUUGAGAUAGAAAUUCGAGAUCUAUGUGACCCAGGCUCAAACCUAUAGACCAACUUUAUCUCCGUCUAUCUCUUGUUCCCUUCUCUCUAUUCUUCGUUCUCAUCCUCUGUCUCACCAACUCCUAAAAUUUACCGUACCGUUCACCGGUGGGCUCCUGAAAGUGUACGUUCUGAGAUACGCGGUUCCAGCGAGUGUAUUGUGAUAGUCUCAACGAGACACGCACUCACCCUUAAGGAACGAGCCGGUUAUCAACACCAAACGAAAAACAAGGAGUACUUAAAAGGAAGUCUUACUGACGGAAGGAAAACGACUUCUGCUAGGAGACACAACCAAGGACCCAACAGGAUCCAACUUAUUUGCCACCAUGACCAGCACGCCCCCGCUCAGCAAGCUCCGGCUCUCCAGCUUCCUCUCACAAAGCUUCGAAGCCGCAGCCCAAACAGUUGAGAUAUGCAAAGGUUUUCAAAACUGCAGAGUUCCAUGUUGGCAAUGGUAAGUCCAAGCGAGUCUUUCAGCAACACUGCACACCACUGCUCGUCCUGCUUUUCUUGUGGAGUGUCCAGCUUCCGCGUCUUUCAAGGUACGGGCGACAGCUGCC